Molecule: ribosomal RNA, 32 nt
Filed under: fungal sp. mh3757.21
Lineage: Eukaryota; Fungi
Description: partial 28S ribosomal RNA
Source: RNAcentral
UUGACCUCGGAUCANGUAGGGAUACCCGCUGA